UACAGAGGUCUCAAGCGUUGUUCGGAAUUACUGGGCGUAAAGGGUGCGCAGGCCGCGCGGGCAGUCAAAUGUGAAAUUCCGGGGCUCAACCUCGGAAUUGCGCUUGAUACUUCCGCGCUAGAACUUUGGAGAGGAGUCUGGAAUUCUCGGUGUAGCAGUGAAAUGCGUGGAUAUCGAGAAGAACACUUAGGGCGUAGGCAAGACUCUGGACAAAUGUUGACGCUCAUGCACGAAGGCUAGGGUAGCGAACGGG
RNAcentral lists this ribosomal RNA (253 nucleotides) under uncultured bacterium. RNAcentral describes it as "partial 16S ribosomal RNA". It matches the Rfam family "Bacterial small subunit ribosomal RNA", at positions 524 to 776 of the family's 1533-position model. The record is from RNAcentral.